GGCUGGUCCAAUGGUAGUGGGUUAUCAGAAUUUAUUAACAUCAAUGUCACUAAAGUUGGUAUACAACUCCCCACUGCUAAAUUUGACUGGCUUUAA
RNAcentral lists this Y RNA (96 nucleotides) under Sapajus apella (tufted capuchin). RNAcentral's name for it is "Cebus apella (Tufted capuchin) Y RNA". It matches the Rfam family "Y RNA". From Rfam's summary of the family: Y RNAs are components of the Ro ribonucleoprotein particle (Ro RNP), in association with Ro60 and La proteins. The Y RNAs and Ro60 and La proteins are well conserved, but the function of the Ro RNP is not known. The record is from Rfam by way of RNAcentral. Lineage: Eukaryota; Metazoa; Chordata; Mammalia; Primates; Cebidae. RNAcentral also lists the same sequence under 1 other name.